GGGUUGUGAGGUUAAGCGACUAAGCGUACACGGUGGAUGCCCUGGCAGUCAGAGGCGAUGAAGGACGUGCUAAUCUGCGAUAAGCGCCGGUAAGGUGAUAUGAACCGUUAUAACCGGCGAUUUCCGAAUGGGGAAACCCAGUGUGAUUCGUCACACUAUCAUUAACUGAAUCCAUAGGUUAAUGAGGCGAACCGGGGGAACUGAAACAUCUAAGUACCCCGAGGAAAAGAAAUCAACCGAGAUUCCCCCAGUAGCGGCGAGCGAACGGGGAGGAGCCCAGAGCCUGAAUCAGCAUGUGUGUUAGUGGAAGCGUCUGGAAAGGCGCGCGAUACAGGGUGACAGCCCCGUACACAAAAGCGCAUGUGCUGUGAGCUCGAUGAGUAGGGCGGGACACGUGGUAUCCUGUCUGAAUAUGGGGGGACCAUCCUCCAAGGCUAAAUACUCCUGACUGACCGAUAGUGAACCAGUACCGUGAGGGAAAGGCGAAAAGAACCCCGGCGAGGGGAGUGAAAAAGAACCUGAAACCGUGUACGUACAAGCAGUGGGAGCCCCACCACUAAGCCAGUGGUGAACUCCACAUACGCAUCCUUUGCUGAGGAUACGGUUAACGGAGCGAAAGCGACGUUCAACCGCAAAAGAAGCAGAGGGGGCUUAGUGGUGGGGUGACUGCGUACCUUUUGUAUAAUGGGUCAGCGACUUAUAUUCUGUAGCAAGGUUAACCGAAUAGGGGAGCCGGAGGGAAACCGAGUCUUAAUUGGGCGUUAAGUUGCAGGGUAUAGACCCGAAACCCGGUGAUCUAGCCAUGGGCAGGUUGAAGGUUGGGUAACACUAACUGGAGGACCGAACCGACUAAUGUUGAAAAAUUAGCGGAUGACCUGUGGCUGGGGGUGAAAGGCCAAUCAAACCGGGAGAUAGCUGGUUCUCCCCGAAAGCUAUUUAGGUAGCGCCUCGUGAAUUCAUCUCCGGGGGUAGAGCACUGUUUCGGCUAGGGGGCCAUCCCGGCUUACCAACCCGAUGCAAACUGCGAAUACCGGAGAAUGUUAUCACGGGAGACACACGGCGGGUGCUAACGUCCGUCGUGAAGAGGGAAACAACCCAGACCGCCAGCUAAGGUCCCAAAGUCAUGGUUAAGUGGGAAACGAUGUGGGAAGGCCCAGACAGCCAGGAUGUUGGCUUAGAAGCAGCCAUCAUUUAAAGAAAGCGUAAUAGCUCACUGGUCGAGUCGGCCUGCGCGGAAGAUGUAACGGGGCUAAACCAUGCACCGAAGCUGCGGCAGCGAACGUAUCACUUAAAGCGAUUCAGCGGGUUACGAUUGACGGAGCGAAGCGACGUCAAAGCGUAUACAAAGUCGAGUCGGUUUAAGGAUACGUUCGUUGGGUAGGGGAGCGUUCUGUAAGCCUGUGAAGGUGUGUCGUGAGGCAUGCUGGAGGUAUCAGAAGUGCGAAUGCUGACAUAAGUAACGAUAAAGCGGGUGAAAAGCCCGCUCGCCGGAAGACCAAGGGUUCCUGUCCAACGUUAAUCGGGGCAGGGUGAGUCGACCCCUAAGGCGAGGCCGAAAGGCGUAGUCGAUGGGAAACGGGUUAAUAUUCCCGUACUUGGUGUUACUGCGAAGGGGGGACGGAGAAGGCUAUGUUGGCCGGGCGACGGUUGUCCCGGUUUAAGCGUGUAGGUGUGUGUUCCAGGUAAAUCCGGUUCACUUUAACACUGAGGCGUGACGACGAGGCACUACGGUGCUGAAGCAACAAAUGCCCUGCUUCCAGGAAAAGCCUCUAAGCAUCAGGUAACAUCAAAUCGUACCCCAAACCGACACAGGUGGUCAGGUAGAGAAUACCAAGGCGCUUGAGAGAACUCGGGUGAAGGAACUAGGCAAAAUGGUGCCGUAACUUCGGGAGAAGGCACGCUGACAUGUAGGUGAAGUGAUUUACUCAUGGAGCUGAAGUCAGUCGAAGAUACCAGCUGGCUGCAACUGUUUAUUAAAAACACAGCACUGUGCAAACACGAAAGUGGACGUAUACGGUGUGACGCCUGCCCGGUGCCGGAAGGUUAAUUGAUGGGGUCAGCGCAAGCGAAGCUCCUGAUCGAAGCCCCGGUAAACGGCGGCCGUAACUAUAACGGUCCUAAGGUAGCGAAAUUCCUUGUCGGGUAAGUUCCGACCUGCACGAAUGGCGUAAUGAUGGCCAGGCUGUCUCCACCCGAGACUCAGUGAAAUUGAACUCGCUGUGAAGAUGCAGUGUACCCGCGGCAAGACGGAAAGACCCCGUGAACCUUUACUAUAGCUUGACACUGAACAUUGAGCCUUGAUGUGUAGGAUAGGUGGGAGGCUUUGAAGUGUGGACGCCAGUCUGCAUGGAGCCGACCUUGAAAUACCACCCUUUAAUGUUUGAUGUUCUAACGUGGACCCGUUAUCCGGGUUGCGGACAGUGUCUGGUGGGUAGUUUGACUGGGGCGGUCUCCUCCUAAAGAGUAACGGAGGAGCACGAAGGUUGGCUAAUCCUGGUCGGACAUCAGGAGGUUAGUGCAAUGGCAUAAGCCAGCUUGACUGCGAGCGUGACGGCGCGAGCAGGUGCGAAAGCAGGUCAUAGUGAUCCGGUGGUUCUGAAUGGAAGGGCCAUCGCUCAACGGAUAAAAGGUACUCCGGGGAUAACAGGCUGAUACCGCCCAAGAGUUCAUAUCGACGGCGGUGUUUGGCACCUCGAUGUCGGCUCAUCACAUCCUGGGGCUGAAGUAGGUCCCAAGGGUAUGGCUGUUCGCCAUUUAAAGUGGUACGCGAGCUGGGUUUAGAACGUCGUGAGACAGUUCGGUCCCUAUCUGCCGUGGGCGCUGGAGAACUGAGGGGGGCUGCUCCUAGUACGAGAGGACCGGAGUGGACGCAUCACUGGUGUUCGGGUUGUCAUGCCAAUGGCACUGCCCGGUAGCUAAAUGCGGAAGAGAUAAGUGCUGAAAGCAUCUAAGCACGAAACUUGCCCCGA
RNAcentral lists this ribosomal RNA (2969 nucleotides) under Salmonella enterica subsp. enterica serovar Tennessee. RNAcentral describes it as "partial 23S ribosomal RNA". It matches the Rfam family "Bacterial large subunit ribosomal RNA". The record is from RNAcentral. Lineage: Bacteria; Pseudomonadati; Pseudomonadota; Gammaproteobacteria; Enterobacterales; Enterobacteriaceae.